This 432-nucleotide unclassified non-coding RNA is filed under the name soil metagenome. Its description in RNAcentral is "partial contains 5.8S ribosomal RNA, internal transcribed spacer 2, and large subunit ribosomal RNA". The stretch from base 1 to 120 matches the Rfam family "5.8S ribosomal RNA", at positions 35 to 154 of the family's 154-position model. The record is from RNAcentral.
GAUGAAGAACGUAGCGAAAUGCGAUACGUAAUGUGAAUUGCAGAAUUCAGUGAAUCAUCGAAUCUUUGAACGCAUAUUGCGCUCUCUGGUAUUCCGGAGAGCAUGCUUGUUUGAGUAUCAGUAAACACCUCAACUUCCAUAUCUUUUUUGAAAUGGGAGUUGGACUUGAGUGAUCCCAACGCUUUUCCUCACCGAAAAGUGGCGGGUUACUUGAAAUGCAGGUGCAGCUGGACUUUUCUCUGAGCUAUAAGCAUAUCUAUUUAGUCUGCCUAAAAAACAGAUUAUUACCUUUGCUGCAGCUAACAUAAAGGAGAUUAGUUCUUGUGCUGACUGAUGCAGGAUUCACAAAGACAGCUUCGGCCGACUUUGUAAACUCGAUCUCAAAUCAAGUAAGACUACCCGCUGAACUUAAGCAUAUCAAUAAGCGGAGGC